UCAGCAUGCUAAAAGAAAGCACCAUUCUCUGCAGGACCUACCCUGGCUGCAUGAACUAGAGUAUUAGAUGUCGAACUCUUAUGAAAGCUAUGCAGAUCUAGCUACAACCUCAAGAAAGCUAGAUAAUGCCCUUUUUAGCUUUAAUGCACCCCAAAAUAGCUCCUAGUUUCACAAGUUCAAUUCUGGUGCAUCAAAUGACAGAAUUGAUGAAGCUUGCACAACGUUAAAAGUACUGAUAUCACAAUAAAUAUAGACCACAGUGUCACAAAGCAAACCAAGUCAUGUCUGGCCAUAUAUGCUAAGUUACAAUGCAAACUAUCAAGAGGAUCUGGACCAUUUCAUGGCAUUUUCAUCGAGAAUAUUUUCCCUAAAAAUAAUAAUUUGCAAAAUUUUAAAUUAGCAAUACUCAAAUUUGCAUAAGGUUGCUCUAUAUGCAUAUUCUUAAAUUUGGGCCGGACCUAAUUCACCCCAAAAACUAGCUCAAGGGGAGGAUUGCCUAUGACCCAUAUAAGGGACACAUUACCCCCUUUCCACAACUGAUGUGGGAUUCAACACACCCCCUCACGCCCAGAAUUUUACUGGUGCGUGACAUAUUCAUGGGAGGCCCAACAUCGGAUGAGGAGGCUCUGAUACCAUAUUAAAUUUGGGCCAGACCUAACUCAUCCCAAAAGCUAGCUCAAGGGGAGAAUUGCCUAUGACCCAUGUGUGUUGAAUCCCACAUCGAUUGUGAAAAGGGGUAAUGUGCCCCUUAUAUGAGGCAUAGGCAAUCAUCC
This 773-nucleotide long non-coding RNA is filed under the name Manihot esculenta (cassava). Its description in RNAcentral is "long non-coding RNA (MESC_LNC012614)". The record is from RNAcentral. Lineage: Eukaryota; Viridiplantae; Streptophyta; Magnoliopsida; Malpighiales; Euphorbiaceae.